Molecule: ribosomal RNA, 1434 nt
Filed under: uncultured organism
Description: SSU rRNA
Rfam family: Bacterial small subunit ribosomal RNA
Source: RNAcentral
UUAACACAUGCAAGUCGAGGGGCAGCAUGGUCUUAGCUUGCUAAGGCCGAUGGCGACCGGCGCACGGGUGAGUAACACGUAUCCAACCUGCCGUCUACUCUUGGACAGCCUUCUGAAAGGAAGAUUAAUACAAGAUGGCAUCAUGAGUCCGCAUGUUCACAUGAUUAAAGGUAUUCCGGUAGACGAUGGGGAUGCGUUCCAUUAGAUAGUAGGCGGGGUAACGGCCCACCUAGUCUUCGAUGGAUAGGGGUUCUGAGAGGAAGGUCCCCCACAUUGGAACUGAGACACGGUCCAAACUCCUACGGGAGGCAGCAGUGAGGAAUAUUGGUCAAUGGGCGAGAGCCUGAACCAGCCAAGUAGCGUGAAGGAUGACUGCCCUAUGGGUUGUAAACUUCUUUUAUAAAGGAAUAAAGUCGGGUAUGGAUACCCGUUUGCAUGUACUUUAUGAAUAAGGAUCGGCUAACUCCGUGCCAGCAGCCGCGGUAAUACGGAGGAUCCGAGCGUUAUCCGGAUUUAUUGGGUUUAAAGGGAGCGUAGAUGGAUGUUUAAGUCAGUUGUGAAAGUUUGCGGCUCAACCGUAAAAUUGCAGUUGAUACUGGAUAUCUUGAGUGCAGUUGAGGUAGGCGGAAUUCGUGGUGUAGCGGUGAAAUGCUUAGAUAUCACGAAGAACUCCGAUUGCGAAGGCAGCCUGCUAAGCUGCAACUGACAUUGAGGCUCGAAAGUGUGGGUAUCAAACAGGAUUAGAUACCCUGGUAGUCCACACGGUAAACGAUGAAUACUCGCUGUUUGCGAUAUACAGCAAGCGGCCAAGCGAAAGCGUUAAGUAUUCCACCUGGGGAGUACGCCGGCAACGGUGAAACUCAAAGGAAUUGAUGGGGGCCCGCACAAGCGGAGGAACAUGUGGUUUAAUUCGAUGAUACGCGAGGAACCUUACCCGGGCUUAAAUUGCAGAUGAAUUACGGUGAAAGCCGUAAGCCGCAAGGCAUCUGUGAAGGUGCUGCAUGGUUGUCGUCAGCUCGUGCCGUGAGGUGUCGGCUUAAGUGCCAUAACGAGCGCAACCCUUGUUGUCAGUUACUAACAGGUUCCGCUGAGGACUCUGACAAGACUGCCAUCGUAAGAUGUGAGGAAGGUGGGGAUGACGUCAAAUCAGCACGGCCCUUACGUCCGGGGCUACACACGUGUUACAAUGGGGGGUACAGAGGGCCGCUACCACGCGAGUGGAUGCCAAUCCCCAAAACCUCUCUCAGUUCGGACUGGAGUCUGCAACCCGACUCCACGAAGCUGGAUUCGCUAGUAAUCGCGCAUCAGCCACGGCGCGGUGAAUACGUUCCCGGGCCUUGUACACACCGCCCGUCAAGCCAUGGGAGCCGGGGGUACCUGAAGUGCGUAACCGCGAGGAGCGCCCUAGGGUAAAACUGGUGACUGGGGCUAAGU